AAAGUAAAAAUUUUAUUUCAUUUCACAACAGUAAUGAAUUCAUUUCGAUUACAAAAAUGAAUUAUUGUUAUAGUAAAUACUGAAUCGAAUCGUUUCACGUGUCCGCAAAUUAUCCGAUUCAUUGAAGUGCUCUUUGGUAAACCACAUUUUUUGUUUUUUGGUCUGACGUUAACGCAAACAAAGCGGAUGAUUCCCCAACUCAUGAACACGCAACGUAUUACUGCCCAUGUGAAAAACAAUGAUUUUCUAAAUUUAUCCCGCAAACACUAAGUGAUUGGCCUUACGACUUACGUCAAUUGUCAUUGCGAACGCAAGGCGAACUGGAAAUUGCAAUCGUUUGAAGUCAAACCCAAGAUCAGUCGGAAUCAUUGAAUUACGGAAAGCCGAGUACCGUUGCAAAGUCGCGGUGGAUUCAAAUUAUGCAAUAUCAUAAUAACUGUACCAACUUCGAGUUGCAAGUGGAAAUCCUGGUAACUCCAGAGAGUUCAAAAACUCCGUUGGAUAAUUUACUACAUCGUCGGGAUUUGUUAUGGAAUCAACGAAUUUGUAUGUCACCAAAUCGCCAGCAAUUUUUUAUUGAAUGGUGAAAUUCAGUGUGUGUGCAUCAUUGUUCUUUGUACAUCUUAACCAGGCAUAAUUCUGAUAAUUCUCACUAAUGUUUGGGAAAACAUUUUCAAUAAGAGCUAAAAAGCGAAAAGUCGUUGGUGCGUCCAGGAAGAAUAGACCACCAGUAUUAUUGUCCACCGCUUGCAAUAAUGUUUCGUUUACUUGUUA
Molecule: non-coding RNA, 774 nt
Organism: Drosophila suzukii
Lineage: Eukaryota; Metazoa; Arthropoda; Insecta; Diptera; Drosophilidae
Source: RefSeq, a predicted model, not a curated record